CUACGGGACGCUCCAGCAAGGAAUUUUGCGCAAUGGGCGAAAGCCUGACGCAGCAACGCCGCGUGGGUGAUGAAGGCCUUCGGGUCGUAAAGCCCUUUUGUUGGGGAAGAAUUCUGACGGUACCCAACGAAUAAGCCUCGGCUAACUACGUGCCAGCAGCCGCGGUAAUACGUAGGAGGCAAGCGUUAUCCGGAAUCAUUGGGCGUAAAGAGCGCGUAGGCGGCUUGUUAAGUCAGCUGUGAAAUCUCCCGGCUCAACUGGGAGAGGUCGGCUGAUACUGGCAGGCUUGAGAGCAGCAGAGGGAGGUGGAAUUCCCGGUGUAGCGGUGAAAUGCGUAGAGAUCGGGAGGAACACCAGUGGCGAAGGCGGCCUCCUGGGCUGUUUCUGACGCUGAGGCGCGAAAGCGUGGGGAGCAAACAGGAUUAGAUACCCGGGUAGUC
Molecule: ribosomal RNA, 440 nt
Filed under: uncultured bacterium
Lineage: Bacteria
Description: partial 16S ribosomal RNA
Rfam family: Bacterial small subunit ribosomal RNA
Source: RNAcentral